AUGACUAUACUUUCAGGGAUCGUUUCUAUAGUUUGUUACUAGAGAAGUUUCUCUGAUCGUGUAGAGCACCGCAGUUAAAACAAAUAAAUU
Tupaia belangeri (northern tree shrew) is the source of this 90-nucleotide small nucleolar RNA. Its record names the gene U3. It matches the Rfam family "Small nucleolar RNA U3". From Rfam's summary of the family: Small nucleolar RNAs (snoRNAs) are involved in the processing and modification of rRNA in the nucleolus. There are two main classes of snoRNAs: the box C/D class, and the box H/ACA class. NCBI's taxonomy places the organism in Eukaryota, Metazoa, Chordata, Mammalia, Scandentia, Tupaiidae. The record is from Ensembl.